RNAcentral lists this ribosomal RNA (429 nucleotides) under Chloroflexota bacterium. RNAcentral's name for it is "Chloroflexi bacterium partial 16S ribosomal RNA". It matches the Rfam family "Bacterial small subunit ribosomal RNA", at positions 355 to 776 of the family's 1533-position model. Lineage: Bacteria; Bacillati; Chloroflexota. The record is from RNAcentral.
UAGGGAAUCUUCGGCAAUGGACGAAAGUCUGACCGAGCAACGCCGCGUGAGUGAAGAAGGUUUUCGGAUCGUAAAACUCUGUUGUUAGAGAAGAACAAGGACGUUAGUAACUGAACGUCCCCUGACGGUAUCUAACCAGAAAGCCACGGCUAACUACGUGCCAGCAGCCGCGGUAAUACGUAGGUGGCAAGCGUUGUCCUGAUUUAUUGGGCGUAAAGCGAGCGCAGGCGGUUUCUUAAGUCUGAUGUGAAAGCCCCCGGCUCAACCGGGGAGGGUCAUUGGAAACUGGGGGACUUGAGUGCGGAAGAGGAGAGUGGAAUUCCAUGUGUAGCGGUGAAAUGCGUAGAUAUAUGGAGGAACACCAGUGGCGAAGGCGGCUCUCUGGUCUGUAACUGACGCUGAGGCUCGAAAGCGUGGGGAGCAAACAGG